AUGAACGCUAGCUACAGGCUUAACACAUGCAAGUCGAGGGGCAUCAGUUUGGUUUGCUUGCAAACCAAAGCUGGCGACCGGCGCACGGGUGAGUAACACGUAUCCAACCUGCCUCAUACUCGGGGAUAGCCUUUCGAAAGAAAGAUUAAUAUCCGAUAGCAUAUAUUUCCCGCAUGGGUUUUAUAUUAAAGAAAUUCGGUAUGAGAUGGGGAUGCGUUCCAUUAGUUUGUUGGGGGGGUAACGGCCCACCAAGACUACGAUGGAUAGGGGUUCUGAGAGGAAGGUCCCCCACAUUGGAACUGAGACACGGUC
RNAcentral lists this ribosomal RNA (312 nucleotides) under uncultured Bacteroidota bacterium. RNAcentral's name for it is "bacterial SSU rRNA". It matches the Rfam family "Bacterial small subunit ribosomal RNA", at positions 29 to 331 of the family's 1533-position model. Lineage: Bacteria; Pseudomonadati; Bacteroidota. The record is from RNAcentral.